RNAcentral lists this ribosomal RNA (1427 nucleotides) under uncultured organism. RNAcentral describes it as "16S ribosomal RNA". It matches the Rfam family "Bacterial small subunit ribosomal RNA". The record is from RNAcentral.
CGGCGUGGAUAAGACAUGCAAGUCGAACGGGAGAAUUGCUAGCUUGCUAAUAAUUCUCUAGUGGCGCACGGGUGAGUAACACGUGAGUAACCUGCCUCUUAGUGGGGGAUAGCCCUGGGAAACCGGGAUUAAUACCGCAUACGAUUGAAAGAUCAAAGCAGCAAUGCGCUAGGAGAUGGGCUCGCGGCCUAUUAGUUAGUUGGUGAGGUAACGGCUCACCAAGGCGAUGACGGGUAGCCGGUCUGAGAGGAUGUCCGGCCACACUGGAACUGAGACACGGUCCAGACACCUACGGGUGGCAGCAGUCGAGAAUCAUUCACAAUGGGGGCAACCCUGAUGGUGCGACGCCGCGUGGGGGAAUGAAGGUCUUCGGAUUGUAAACCCCUGUCAUGUGGGAGCAAAUUAAAAAGAUAGUACCACAAGAGGAAGAGACGGCUAACUCUGUGCCAGCAGCCGCGGUAAUACAGAGGUCUCAAGCGUUGUUCGGAAUCACUGGGCGUAAAGCGUGCGUAGGCUGUUUCGUAAGUCGUGUGUGAAAGGCAGGGGCUCAACCCCUGGAUUGCACAUGAUACUGCGAGACUAGAGUAAUGGAGGGGGAACCGGAAUUCUCGGUGUAGCAGUGAAAUGCGUAGAUAUCGAGAGGAACACUCGUGGCGAAGGCGGGUUCCUGGACAUUAACUGACGCUGAGGCACGAAGGCCAGGGGAGCGAAAGGGAUUAGAUACCCCUGUAGUCCUGGCAGUAAACGGUGCACGCUUGGUGUGCGGGGAAUCGACCCCCUGCGUGCCGGAGCUAACGCGUUAAGCGUGCCGCCUGGGGAGUACGGUCGCAAGAUUAAAACUCAAAGAAAUUGACGGGGACCCGCACAAGCGGUGGAGUAUGUGGCUUAAUUCGAUGCAACGCGAAGAACCUUACCUGGGCUUGACAUGUAAUGAACAACAUGUGAAAGCAUGCGACUCUUCGGAGGCGUUACACAGGUGCUGCAUGGCCGUCGUCAGCUCGUGUCGUGAGAUGUUUGGUUAAGUCCAGCAACGAGCGCAACCCCUGUUGCCAGUUACCAGCACGUCAAGGUGGGGACUCUGGCGAGACUGCCCAGAUCAACUGGGAGGAAGGUGGGGACGACGUCAGGUCAGUAUGGCCCUUAUGCCCAGGGCUGCACACGUACUACAAUGCCCAGUACAGAGGGGGCCGAAGCCGCGAGGCGGAGGAAAUCCUGAAAACUGGGCCCAGUUCGGACUGUAGGCUGCAACCCGCCUACACGAAGCCGGAAUCGCUAGUAAUGGCGCAUCAGCUACGGCGCCGUGAAUACGUUCCCGGGUCUUGUACACACCGCCCGUCACAUCAUGGAAGCCGGUCGCACCCGAAGUAUCUGAAGCCAACCGCAAGGAGGCAGGGUCCUAAGGUGAGACUGGUAACUGGGAUGAAGUC